Molecule: ribosomal RNA, 253 nt
Filed under: uncultured bacterium
Lineage: Bacteria
Description: partial 16S ribosomal RNA
Rfam family: Bacterial small subunit ribosomal RNA
Source: RNAcentral
UACGAAGGGGGCGAGCGUUGUUCGGAUUUACUGGGCGUAAAGGGCGCGCAGGCGGCGCAUUUUGUCAGGCGUGAAAGCCCCGGGCUUAACCUGGGAACUGCGUUUGAUACGGAUGGGCUAGAGUUCGGGAGAGGAGAGUGGAAUUCCCAGUGUAGAGGUGAAAUUCGUAGAUAUUGGGAAGAACACCGGUGGCGAAGGCAGCUCUCUGGUACAUGAUUGACGCUGAGACGCGAAAGCGUGGGGAGCGAACAGG